Molecule: long non-coding RNA, 492 nt
Organism: Ipomoea triloba (trilobed morning glory)
Lineage: Eukaryota; Viridiplantae; Streptophyta; Magnoliopsida; Solanales; Convolvulaceae
Exons: 4
Source: RefSeq, a predicted model, not a curated record
CAUAUAAUUCUCUUGGUACUUUUUAAUGAAAUUACUUGAUAAAGUUUUCCCAUUUCUUCAUUUUAUUGAAGAAAUGCAGAAAGCUUUUUCUUUUUAAAAUAAAUGUCUCACAUUCCUUUUUGACAGUAGGAUCUUUCAUUUGCUCAAUUUUCCCCAAGCAAGCAAUCAAUGGUUUAUUCAGUCUUCCCAGGUAGCUCCUGACUCAAAUGUAAGUACCAAUGCAAACAAAAAUGAAGAGAAGGUAGGAGAGGCAAAGUACUCGAGUCAUUCUCUCAACGAGGCUGGGAUGUUACAGUAUACUUUAUUGCUCUAUGAAUCUAAGAUUGAUCCAGUCUUCGAAGAAUGAGGCCAGAAGAUCAGAAGAUAUCUUUCAUCAGCUUCAGGAAAUCUAGGAAUCUGUUAAACUUGUCUUUUUGAAUUGUUUGCUAGGUUUUACUGUUCAUCUUGAAAACAACAUGGGUAGUGAGCUUACCCAGAGUAGAUCAAGUAGAG